This 460-nucleotide ribosomal RNA is filed under the name uncultured bacterium. RNAcentral describes it as "SSU rRNA". It matches the Rfam family "Bacterial small subunit ribosomal RNA", at positions 26 to 518 of the family's 1533-position model. The record is from RNAcentral.
AGAAUCAACGCUGGCGGCGUGCCUAACGCAUGCAAGUCGCACGAGAAAGGGUAGCAAUACCUGAGUACAGUGGCGCACGGGUGAGUAACACGUGAAUAAUCUACCUCCGAGUGGGGAAUAACUGAGAGAAAUCUUAGCUAAUACCGCAUAAUACCCACGGGUCAAAGCAGCAAUGCGCUUGGAGAGGAGUUCGCGGCAGAUUAGUUAGUUGGCGGGGUAAUGGCCCACCAAGACGAUGAUCUGUAUCCGGCCUGAGAGGGCGCACGGACACACUGGAACUGAAACACGGUCCAGACUCCUACGGGAGGCAGCAGUGGGGAAUUUUGCGCAAUGGGGGAAACCCUGACGCAGCAACGCCGCGUGGAGGAUGAAGCCCCUUGGGGUGUAAACUCCUUUCGAUCGGGAAGAUAAUGACGGUACCGAUAUAAGAAGCCCCGGCUAACUUCGUGCCAGCAGCCGC